This is a long non-coding RNA of Mus musculus (house mouse), 11000 nucleotides long. RefSeq annotates it as predicted gene, 37292. The record is from RefSeq and is a predicted model, not a curated record. The transcript is spliced from 3 exons. Lineage: Eukaryota; Metazoa; Chordata; Mammalia; Rodentia; Muridae.
UCAUUAGGGAAUGCUUUGGAAAAUCACACUUAAUAAGCCCAGGCUUUGCCUACCUCCCCAUGUCACUGGGGCUCUACAGGGACUUAUGGUGAUGUGAUAGGCUUGGCCAAUACCUCACAUCUCCUGGGAGGUGGAGAGGUGGCUCUUGAGUGGGAUCUUGGGCCUGGUGGAUCCCACAAACUGAGUGUAGCUCAACAUCCCAAGGCUAGUGAUUGAAACAACAGCAGAUCAUGGGUACUUCCCUGCCACCAUUACCUCAGACUCUUCAGAAGUUCAGGCCACUUUGGAAAUUGUCCCUGGAACAUCUCUACAGGCUCCUUAAAGUAUUCUUAAUAAUGCUUGUACUAUCUGUGUGCGGGAAGCCUGAUCAGAUAGCUGUGGUCCAAAGACCCUAAAUGGAUAAAGUAUUGGAAUCAAGUACAUUCAGGCUAGCUAGUGUGGACACAAAUAGCUAUGUCUAUUGUUUCCAAAAGGAAUGAUCAAAGGUGUUAUGCCUUAAACUGUUUUUUCCCUAAAACAUAGGUUACAUGGUCAUUUUUUUGUGAAUGGUCUUUACACAGUUUUCAAGUUUAAAUGAGGUCAUUGGUAUUGUUCAAAAAGGGGGAGGGGUGUUUUAGGACUUGGCAAAAGACAGAGGGAGACAGUCUAAGGAUAGCCAGAGAGAAGACUAUCAAGUGACAGGAACGUCCCUUCUACAGAUGUAUACUGUUUUACAGGGUACAUGAAGUGUGGUUUGGGUGUUGCUGGGAUUUAGACACAACGACGACGACAACAACAACAACAAACCAAACAACAACAACAUUAACAACAAACCAAACAACAACAACAAAACAACAACAUUAAUAAUAAACCAAAUUAAAAAAAGGUCAAAACCCCAAAAAAACUCAUCAGGCGAUGUUGGCUCACACCGUUAAUCUCAACACUCAGCAGGCAGAGGUAGGUCGAUCUCAAUGAGUUCGAGGCCAGCCUGGUCUACAGAGUGAGAUCCAGGUCAGCCAGGGCUACAAAGGGAAACCCUGUCUCGAAAAACCAAACUGAACCAAAAUGAAACGAAAAAACCAACCAACCAACCAACCAACCAACCAACCAACCAACCAACCAACCAACCAAAGAAACCGAACCUAAUCGAACUGAACCAAACCGAACCGAAACAAAAGAAAAAACUGCAUUUCCCAGAAGGCAGAGCUGCAAGCUGGGAAAUGACGCUCAGCGUAGUGGGCGUUCCUGGGAAACUUUGGGGGCGGGACUUCCGACAUUAUGUCGGUCAUUCUUGAGUCUCAGACUAGUCUUCCCAGUGGUUCGCCGCACUGGGCAGAAACAGGGUCCUGUGAAUCGAGGGUAGCGAACGAGAAGGACCUCGAGGACAGAGGGCCCACUCCCACCUUCCAAGCGAGCCGUGCUCUUCUUCGCGGCCUAGCAGCGCCCCCCGCUGCACACUUUUCGGGGCCUCAGCACCAAUGGUUCCCAUAGCGACGCCUGCAUUGGUGAGAGGAGGUUCCCCUCUCUCGGGCCAUCUGAUGGGGGUGGGCGUGGGGCUCCUGGGUUCUGGAACUCUAACUCUUCCUGAGUUAGUGUCCUGGGAUCUGGAAACAGUAGGUUCCUCAGGAGGUUCUUGUGUCGGGCUCUAACCUUGGUCCCCACUCUUUUCCGCUCUUGGCCUCGCUCCCCAGGUCUGAAUUGGGGUGUCCGUUAUAAUUUCCUCCUGAGAGAACUGACCCAGUAUGCCCGUGCUUGGGUCUUGUGCUCAGUAGGAUCCAGACAGCAUCACUGUGGGCGGCCCCCGGUGUGCUAAUCUGGUUCCUCGGGCCUUCGCUUGCUUCCCUGUAGCCUGGAGGUUUCUGAGUCUAGAUGUCUGAGGUAGCUCUGCAUUGCUAGAAGUAGAAAGCCCCUUUGCUGACAGGAAAAAAGGGACUGGGUUUGUCUUCACAGCGUAUUUGGCUUGUUCCUGAACAGUGAUGAAUCAGUUUUCUGUUAACACUACUAUUUUUAAUCCUGUACUGCAAAAUAAAUUUAAAAUAUUUGUUAAUGACUGUGCUUUUGGAGUGCACAUACACAGUGGACCCAAUUACUCUCCAGCAUGCUAAGCUGUUCACUACCAGCAGCAUGGGUCUGUUCACUUUUAAGACUAAUUUUUCCUGGUGUGUGUGUACGUGCUUGUGUGCUUGUGCAAUGUGUGCUGGUACACGUGUGAGAGCUGGUACACUUUUGUAGGCAUGCAUAUGCAAGCCCACGUUUGAUACCCAGAGUCAUUUUUCAGCACUCUUCCAUGAUCUCUCAAUCAAACCCAGAACUUGUGGAUAUGGCCAGUCUUGCUAGCUAGCUUGCUCUGGGCUCUCCUGUUUUCUCCUUUUGAAGUUGGACUCAGACAGCUCCUUAGGCUCACCCAGAAUUUCCAUGGAUUUGGGGGCUCUGAACUCUCAGUUACCUGCCAUGCACUUUAACUGCUGACCCUUUUUGGACAUCCAGGGCUUGGCAACCUCACUUUUUCUCACUUGGCUUGCAGGAUUGGAUCAUUCCACUCUUCCUCUGUCAGCAUUUUGAGGGUACAGACAAAGAAGGCACAGCUCCCCUGCUGCCACCCACAGCAGUCUGAGAAGUUCCCUUAGAGAUUCUUAGGGGCUUCAUACUUAUGCUAACCCAGGACUCACAUCUUGAAUGCUGAAAAGAAUUUCAGGGUUAACCUGGUUUGAAGCAGAGUUCAGGUUUUAAUGAAAACAUCUUAAUAGAGGUUUAAGGUCUGGAGGGGCCCUCAAAAAGAUCAGAUAUAUCAGAAAGCGUGGAUAUAGAUUGUGUGUGUGUGUGUCUGUCUGUCUGUCUGUCUGUCUCUCUGUGUUUGUCUAUCUAUCUGUCUAUCUAAUGUCAUUCAUUGUUUUUUACAAAAAGUCAUAUAGGAUUUUCAUGGGAUUGAAGUUACCAUUAUCAAAGGCUUGCUAAGAAAUCUAAAUGAGAUAGCUGGGUGCUUCCUGAGGGGUCCCUGAUAGUAUUACAGUCCAUCAGGUGAAAAUCUGGCUCACAAGGAUAGAGAACAGUGGGCUAGCUUUACUGUAAACAGAGAUAGCUGAUGUGAUUUAGAUUUUUGGGGCAGUGUCUGGGGAAAGGAAGGGGGCCCUACCCAAGGUCACACAUACUCUGGCAUUAUAUCCUGGCUUAUUCCCUUAACAUAAAAUACUUCUAUGUAGGAGGACUAACUGUGCCGGAGGCUUUCACAGCAAGUAUCAAUUAUUCUAAAUUAUUUCUAAUAUAUUUAUUUCAUUUCAUGUGUAUGAAUGUUUUGUCUAUGUGUACUUAUGUGUACCAUGUAUAUAUCUGGUACCUGGGAGGCCAGAAGUAGGCACCAUACUCCCUGAAACUGGAGUUACAGUCAGUUGUGAAGUGCCAUGUGGGUGCUGGGAAUUGAUCCUGGGUCCUCAGCAAGAACAGCAAGUACUCUUAACCCCUGGGCCCUGUCCCACAUUCUUGAUUCUUACCUGGUGAGGAGCUUCAGUCAGACUCCAGAGUGAUGAGUGUCUUUCCCUCCCCAAGUGCCUACAAUGUUUCUGUAAUUCUGUCCUGUCUCAGUUCCAGUGCCAUUUCAGAAAGUCCUUCUCCAACUGCUUCAUCUAAAGCUUCUCCCAGUCUUCCACACAUCACCCCAUUUUGUUUAGGAACCCAGAGAACUGUCUCACUUCAUUUAGCACAUAAAUUAAAAUGCAACCUCUGCUGUAGUGCUGGAGGUGAGUGCUCUGCCACUGUGCUGUGUCCCCAGCUGACUGCUUCCAUAUUGUUGCAGGUCUGUAACUUUAAUUUUUUUAAAGCCUAUUUCUAAUGAUGGUUCUUAAAUGUUUUAACCUCCAUUUUAGCCCACCACCCACCAGAGGUAGUAGAAAAGAAAGGAUGUGGGGGAAGUGGACCUGUUUCGAAAGAGUCUUUGGAGCAGCUUCUAUCUGUGUUGUCUGGAAAUCGGCAGUUCAGUUCACAGGUCAGCAUCGGCAGCUUGAUUCACUUGCAAACACUUUACAGGCAUAUCAGCAGUCUAGUUUGGUAGAGUUGGGAUAGCAAACAUGAAUCAGCAGUGGUGGCAGCUAGGCCUCAGCAAGCUCGAGACCAACAAGCAUUGCACAGUUAGCUCUAUAAUCAAGCCAAACUCAGUCUCCAUCACUGUCCAUUAAGUCCUAUUUAUACUCUUUUCAAACAUCAUGUGUUCUUCACGGGUCUUGCCUCUGCACGUGCAUCUGUCUCGACUGACAUCACAUUGCCAAUCAGCCUAAGUCCUCAGAAGCCACAAGAAACUGCAGCACACUAACAGAAGAUUUUUGGUGUGUUUUCUCUAUGGAGUCAUGACAAAUGCAGCUCAACUGCGCAAUGUAAGGCAGAGCAAUACAGGUGUGUUGUUAGCAGAGAAUCCUUCAUCAGGUGUCCUUUCAUGUGUUUGUUUUAGCAGAACAUCCUUUCUCCUAUGUCUGCCUCAGCUAAACAUUCCUUCAUGUGUUGGUCCAGCAAAAUACCAUCCAACACAACUGACUUUCCAAAGAACCCUUAAGUUUCCAUUUCACAGGCCCAUUCGCAACCCUGGAAUAUGAGUUCCUUCAAAGGAUGGGGUUUGUGUUAUUUCUUUAGUAAGUGGAUAGUGAGUGAAAGACUACCCUCUGAGGCUGCUGUCACCCUCAACCUGCCACCAUGGUUACAGUCUUCAAGCCACCAUCCCAUUAGGCUCACUUUCUGCCCUCAGGCCAAGCUGGCUCAAACCCCCAAGCUGUUUACCCCCUUUUGUCACUUUGAACUUGUUGUGUGACACCAUUCCUGGAGAGAAGUGAGCAAAUGUCUCCUCACCCUACAUAGGGAACUGACAAUAGACCAAAGUAAAGAUAGUACCAUAGUCCAACUUGGUGGACUAAUAGUCCUAUUAAGAUUAUUUACAGGAACACAGGUAGUGGUUAUUUACAGGGACACAGUGACUCCAGACAGCUGUAUCUGUAACCUGACUUUUGGCUACUUGGUGAGUUUUUUUCUUUCCACCCUUUUCCACCCUCUUCCAGCCUUUCAGUUCCCUAACACUUAGUAGGAGAGAAAAAGUGGUUGGAGGGGAAAGAGGGCAAUGAUAUUGUUAGACUAAUUCCUGGUGAUUAGGGGUGUUGAGUUUCUCAGGACAACUUUUAUCUUGGCCUUCAGGAUAUCUAAUUUCUUCUUCUCAACCCUUUUGCUCAUGACUGAAGAUAAACCACAUCAAGUAGCAACCAACAUUAUCCAACCAGCAAUUGGCCAAACAGCCCAUUCUGUUGGGGCCUUUAUAUAGCUUCUGAAGUGUUCCCAGAAUUCCAAGUAUCACAUGCAGCUAGCAAAGAAACUACCUGCAGCUGGCAAAAUCGUGCCCCUGCUAGGCUAAUCAUAGUCAUCUGCUGUGAAGCAGUCCCAUCUCUCACACCUGGGAUUAAAACAAAAACACAUAUUUCUGUUUUUAACAAAACCAACAUUUUCAUUCAUGUGUUACCACAGCCUGCACUAGCAUGGGUACAGCUUUCAAAAGCUGGCAACCCAGGGUACACUGCACCAUGUGCAAGUCUGAACAGUCAGGAGUAUAGCUCUUUCAGACAUUGAUAAUGAUCUGAGCCUCUCCCAGGCAGCUCAACUGGUCUGUGUUCCUUGGCAGACCCUACACCUUAUACAUGCUUUGGGGAAGAGUAGAAUGGAUCUAGUCAGUUCCAGGACUUCCUGAGUGUAGGGAGCUUCCCUGCAGGGUGGAGUGUUGUGUCCUGGAGGAAAUGGCCACAGCAGUCCUCAGAUCUACGACCAAGCUGCCUCUUGAAUACAUGCUGCACAUUCCCUCCGUGCUUCCUGAGUACACAAAACUGUUACAGUAGGAUAGUGAAGCUUUGGGUGACACUCAAAGCAUACUUUGCAAGAUUUUCAUGGAUGAGAAUGGGAAUGAGGGGAACUUCAGAGAUACUUCCAGGCUGAGGUGCCUCAUUGAAAAAGUUAGGCUUUAUUCAAGGAGGCAUGAGAUGACUCUUGGAGUCAUGGGCUCUCAUAAGUUGCCCUCAUGUUUCUAAGAAAGGUGAGAUUGGCUGGCAGUUCCUUACCUAUACUUCGUCCUUGCCCAAGACAGAUAUCAUGCUCCAGGUUGCUACCCAUGUUCAUGGGGCCAUGGCCAUUGUCCUUGGUCACUUGGGUACCAGAUACUUAAGUAAUCUUAGGUAACACUGUGAAUAAUGGAUCAUUUAAAAAUGAAACAAAUGUGUGACAGAGCCUCUGGGUCUCGUCUAGGUACAGAUUCUCUAUUUUGAGCCCGGGCAGGUGAGGUGUGACAGGUAAAUUUAACACAAUGGAUUUUUCCAAGCUAUCCAAAAUCUGUGAUGAAGAUAUGUGGAGAGCCGUGCCGCGAGCAAUCGCGUGCGUGCUGUGAGCAAUCGCCAUUAUAAGAUGGUGCUGGCUUCCACUGUGCCUAACUAGUAAACAAGCCUUAUGCGCAAGUGCAAGAGUGAACUCAUGCCUAGUCACUGCCCAUCUCGCAGCAUAGUAAUGGGGUGAUGGGCGAGCAACGAAUCAGGAGCUGUCACGCCACAUCAGGUGCUGAAACGUCAUGCUGCGGGCUAUAUAAACAGCGCCAUUUUCCCAGUUCGGGGUCUUCCCUCCUGAUAAGUAAGCAAUAAAAGCUUUGCUGCAGAAGAUUCCAGUUGUCCUGAGUGUGUUCUUGCCGGCGGGGACAAAAGCUUGGGCAAUAAGUGGCGCUGAGGAACCCGGGAACUAUCAUCACACCAGCGCAAGGGAGAUCCCUCGUUCACGAGGUGGAACCAGAACGGGACAUUACAGCUUUACGAGGAAAUUGGUCUGAAAGAUUCGAUGAGACCCUUGAGUCCCUGAGAGUGGCCGUUCUAAAGAUCAACUCGACACGAGUGGACCUGUCAUUUACAGAGGGCCUCUCCUCCUGGAUUUCAUCUGCUUUUUCUUAUUUUAAAGAAUGGGUGGAGGUCCUGGAUAUUAUAUUUCACACAGAAGCUUUAUGAAAUUCAUAUUAAGUUAUAAAUAUAAACAGUGCUUAAAUAUUUUGUUUUUGAAGUACAAAAUACUUAGAGAAGCGCUUAUAAGAUUUACUCAGAGAGGACAGGUGUCCGCCUGGCUCGGGAGGAGGCCUCAGCCUCAGCAGCAGCGGUCGCCAUCUUGGUUCCGGGACUCCGCGGAACUUAGGAAAUUAGUCUGAACAGGUGAGAGGGUGCGCCAGAGAACCGGACAGCUUCUGGGACAGGCGGAAACACAGAGCCGCUGAGGCAGCACCCUUUGCGGGCUGCAGACAGCUGGCAACCGUCCGGACCAGAGGACAGGUGUCCGCCUGGCUCGGGAGGCGGCCUUAGCCUCAGGAGCAGCGGUCGCCAUCUUGGUUCCGGGACUCCGCGGAACUUAGGAAUUUAGUCUGCACAGGUGAGAGUCUGCACCACAGAAGCUGAAAGCUUCUGGGAACUGCCAAAGCAACACAGCUUCUGAGAAAGGUCCUGUUUUGGGCCUUCUUCUUCAGCCAGCAGGAGGUCCAAACACAAGAUAUCUGCGCACCUUCCCUGUAAGAGAGCUUGCCAGCAUAGAGUGCUCUGAGCACUGAAACUCAGAGGAGAGAAUCUGUCUCUCAGGUCUGCUGAUAGACGGUAACAGAAUCACCAGAAGAACAAUCUCUAAACAGAGUCAACUAUAACUACUAACUCCAGAGAUUACCAGAUGGCGAAAGGUAAAUGUAGGAAUCUUACUAACAGGAACCAAGACCACUCACCAUCAUCAGAACCCAGCACUCCCACUUCUCCCAGUCCAGGGCACCCCAACACACCCAAAAACCUAGACCUAGAUUUAAAAGCAUAUCUCAUGAUGAUGGUAGAGGACAUCAAGAAGGACUUUAAUAAAUCCCUUAAAGAAAUACAGGAGAACACGGCUAAAGAGUUACAAGUCCUUAAAGAAAAACAGGAAAAGACAAUCAAACAGGUAGAAGUCCUUACAGAAAAAGAGGAAAAAACAUACAAACAGGUGAUGGAAAUGAACAAAACCAUACUAGACCUAAAAAGGGAAGUAGACACAAUAAAGAAAACUCAAAGUGCGGCAACACUGGAGAUAGAAACCCUAGGAAAGAAAUCUGGAACCAUAGAUUUGAGCAUCAGCAACAGAAUACAAGAGCUGGAAGAGAGAAUCUCAGGUGCAGAAGAUUCCAUAGAGAACAUCGGCACAACAAUCAAAGAAAAUGGAAAAUGCAAAAAGAUCCUAACUCAAAAUAUCCAGGAAAUCCAGGACACAAUGAGAAGACAAAACCUACGGAUAAUAGGAGUGGAUGAGAAUGAAGAUUUUCAACUCAAAGGACCAGCAAACAUCUUCAACAAAAUUAUUGAAGAAAACUUCCCAAAUCUAAAGAAAGAUGCCCAUGAACAUACAAGAAGACUACAGAACUCCAAAUAGACUGGACCAGAAAAGCAAUUCCUCCUGACACAUAAUAAUCAGAACAACAAAUGCACUAAAUAAAUAUAGAAUACUAAAAGCAGUAAGGGAAAAAGGUCAAGUAACAUAUAAAGGCAAGCCUAUCAGAAUUACACCAGAUUUUUCACCAGAGACUAUGAAAGCCAGAAGAGCCUGGACAGAUGUUAUACAGACACUAAGAGAACACAAAUUCCAGCCCAGGCUACUAUACCCAGCCAAACUCUCAAUUACCAUAGAUGGAGAAACCAAAGUAUUCCACGACAAAACUAAAUUCACCCAUUAUCUCUCCAGGAAUCCAGCCCUUCAAAGGAUAAUAACAGAAAAAAACCAAUACAAGAAUGGGAACAAUGCCCUAGGAAAAAAACAAGAAGGUAAUCCCUCAACAAACCUAAAAGAAGACAGCCACAAGAACAGAAUGCCAACUUUAACAACAAAAAUAACAGGAAGCAACAAUUACUUUUCCUUAAUAUCUCUUAACAUCAAUGGUCUCAACUCCCCAAUAAAAAGACAUAGACUAACAAAGUGGCUACACAAACAAGACCCAACAUUUUGCUGCUUACAGGAAACUAAUCUCAGAGAAAAAGAUAGACACUACCUCAGAAUGAAAGGCUGGAAAACAAUUUUCCAAGCAAAUGGUAUCAAGAAACAAGCUGGAGUAGCCAUCCUAAUAUCUGAUAAGAUUGACUUCCAACCCAAAGUCAUCAAAAAAGACAAGGAGGGGCACUUCAUUCUCAUCAAAGGUAAAAUCCUCCAAGAGGAACUCUCAAUUCUGAAUAUCUAUGCUUCAAAUACUAGGGCAGCCACAUUCAUUAAAGAAACUUUAGUAAAGCUCAAAACACACAUUGCACCUCACACAAUAAUAGUGGGAGACUUCAACACACCACUUUCACCAAUGGACAGAUCAUGGAAACAGAAACUAAACAGGGACACAGUGAAACUAACAGAAGUGAUGAAACAAAUGGAUCUGACAGAUAUCUACAGAACAUUUUAUCCUAAAACAAAAGGAUAUACCUUUUUCUCAGCACCUCAUGGGACCUUCUCCAAAAUUAACCACAUAAUAGGUCACAAAACAAGCCUCAACAUAUACAAAAAUAUUGAAAUUUUCCCAUGCAUCCUAUCAGAUCACCAUGCACUAAGGCUGAUCUUCAAUAACAAAAUAAAUAAUAGAAAGCCAACAUUCACGUGGAAACUGAACAACACUCUUCUCAAUGAUACCUUGGUCAAGGAAGGAAUAAAGAAAGAAAUUAAAGACUUUUUAGAGUUUAAUGAAAAUGAAGCUACAACGUACCCAAACCUUUGGGACACAAUGAAAGCAUUUCUAAGAGGGAAACUCAUAGCUCUGAGUACCUCCAAGAAGAAACGGGAGAGAGCACAUACUAGCAGCUUGACAACACAUCUAAAAGCUCUAGAAAAAAAGGAAGCAAAUUCACCCAAGACGAGUAGAUGGCAGGAAACAAUCAAACUCAGGGGUGAAAUCAACCAAGUGGAAACAAGAAGAACUAUUCUAAGAAUUAACCAAACGAGGAGUUGGUUCUUUGAGAAAAUCAACAAGAUAGAUAAACCCUUAGCUAGACUCACUAGAGGGCACAGGGACAAAAAUCCUAAUUAACAAAAUCAGAACUGAAAAGGGAGACAUAACAACAGAUCCUGAAGAAAUCCAAAACACCAUCAGAUCCUUCUACAAAAGGCUAUACUCAACAAAACUGGAAAACCUGUACGAAAUGGACAAAUUUCUGGACAGAUACCAGGUACCAAAGUUGAAUCAGGAUCAAGUUGACCUUCUAAACAGUCCCAUAUCCCCUAAAAAAUAGAAGCAGUUAUUAAUAGUCUCCCAGCCAAAAAGAGCCCAGGACAAGAUGGGUUUAGUGCAGAGUUCUAUCAGACCUUCAAAGGAGAUCUAAUUCCAGUUCUGCACAAACUUUUUCACAAGAUAGAAGUAGAAGGUACUCUACCCAACUCAUUUUAUGAAGCCACUAUUACUCUGAUACCUAAACCACAGAAAGAUCCAACAAAAAGAACUUCAGACAAAUUUCUCUUAUGAAUAUCAAAGCAAAAAUCCUCAAUAAAAUUCUCGCUAACCGAAUCCAAGAACACAUUAAAGCAAUCAUCCUGACCAAGUAGGUUUUAUUCCAGUGUUGCAGGGAUGCUUUAAUAUACGAAAAUCCAUCAAAGUAAUCCAGUAUAUAAACAAACUCAAAGACAAAAACCACAUGAUCAUCUCGUUAGAUGCAGAGAAAGCAUUUGACAAGAUCCAACACCCAUUCAUGAUAAAAGUUCUGGAAAGAUCAGGAAUUCAAGGCCCAUACCUAAACAUGAUAAAAGCAAUCUACAGGAAACCAUUAGCCAACAUCAAGUUAAAUGGAGAGAAGCUGGAAGCAAUCCCACUAAAAUCAGGGACUAGACAAGGCUGCCCACUUUCUCCCUACCUUUUCAACAUAGUACUUGUAGUAUUAGCCAGAGCAAUUCGACAACAAAAGGAGUUCAAGGGGAUACAAAUUGGAAAAGAGGAAGUCAAAAUAUCACUCUUUGCAGAUGAUAUGAUAGUAUAUAUAAGUGACCCUAAAAAUUCCAACAGAGAA